GUAUUCUGCACGGACUGCUGGGCAGCACUAGCACUCUGGAGAAGGUCUGCCGCUGUCUGCACUUUCCUGGUUCUAUGCAGGCAGAUGAGUGUCACAGCUGUAACUGAGGCACAGAGCAGUACACACAGUGGAGCCGAUUUCCGCGAUGGCGAGAGGGGGCACCGGAGGUGACAACAAUAACAAGACUGUCCUUCGGACAAGUUUUAGAUUCUCAGGAUGAUGGAGUGAGUGAUGGAAUAGGUUGCCAACUGUAGUUACUCCACUCAGCACAGAAUGGCUGCGGGGAAAUAUAAUCAGACAUGCCCAAAGAAGUCUGCUUAGGGUGAAACAAAUACCUUUGAGGUUUAAAUCAGAAAGGAAGGAGAGACUGUUUCUACAGGUGUCAUACAAAAAUCAAUACUGAGCCAAGGAUUAUUGGAUCCCAUAGAACCACGGAGACUUGGUAGUGAAAUUCUUCCAAAGCAUUCCAUCCGUGCAGGCAGAUGGUGUUCCUAGGUUUGGAAAUAUAAAUCCCAUGGGAAGUCAGCUGAAGACCAUUUUAUGCAUCACUCAUCCUGUUAGAGCCCUGUGCUGUUCUGUCUCUCUAUAAGACUGGCUGAAACCACCACGGUUGUUUACAAUUUAUGCUCUAACUUUGGAUCACCUAGUUAAUACUCUAACUCCGAUUAUUACCAAAGACAAUGUUCUAUAAAAGAUAUUGUCUAUUAGAAGGAUGCUUCUGCAUUAUUAAUAAAAUCACAGGGAAAAUGCAACAUUUUGGAUGUCACAUCUGAUAAGUUGGCAGUUAAAGAACAGAAACAGCAAUAAGACUGCGUGGCUACAUUUUCCCAGUGCCACCAACUGGGAUUUAAGCUGACUAACAUUUUGAAAGCCCAGCCCAUUUCAUUCACAGCAGGAUGGCAGUGGGUGACUGAUCGUACCCGCCAGCUGGCUAAUGUCAUAAUUAACAAAGUUGCUACUACAUCUGCAAAGUUUAAUCGAAAAAUUUGCCAGUGAUAUGAUGGCCUUGUCACAGAGAUCACAAGGGACACGGAGUUGACUUUUGCUCAAGGUGGAACGACAGAGCUGUGUAGGCAAGAUGAGAAAUUGCGAACUUGUUCGGCCAAAGGAACGACUAUGCUCUGGAGAGUCCUGUAAUUUGCAGAAAAUGGACCAAGAUAACAUUUGAGUUCCAUGCUACCAAAAUCCUCUUGAGAAGGACAGCUAGCUACCCAGAAUAUUUAACAUUGUGACAUUGAAAUGUUGGAUGAACGAUUAAAAUGAAGAAUCUAGUCAUAGGUUGUAAGAAAUCGCUAAAUUAUUAUGUUUAAUCCAAAGAAGAGAAAGGAAAAGCUGUUUUCAUUCCCCCCAGCCUCUGAGGAGGCUAAUAAUGAAGGGGCCGGGAAGGAGGCCAGUGCUACCAGGGUUAUCUCACAACCUCAGAUGCUGGAUAAGUCGACGGAGGCAGAAUCGCUUUGGGAUGACAUUCAGAAAGCCUGGAGUGAUUACUUGCAAGAGAAAAGCCUACCUAUUCUUUCCAAGGUGCAGGAAUAUUCCCCUGACCUGCUCAUCCAGUGGUCCAGUAAUGAAUUACUGGAGACCUGCCUUAGACAAAGAAUGCACUCGGAGCCCCAACACACCUAAAGCCAUGCUUUGAAGGAUCUGCCAAGCUCACUUUUAAUCAUGAGAAAGAAAUUACCCACACGGAGUCAGCAGAAAAUGAGAAAGUAGAGCUCGUGCUGUGAAUAAUUCCAGCAAGUGCCAAGGGGCUAGUUGAGGAAUGGCUUCAUGAGAUGUUAGUCUAAAACAGCACCUUGGAUCUAAGCAGCACCUUUGAGAAAGAAAAGACUGCUUCAAGAAUGUCUAGUUGCACCUCCUUUCCGUAUGUGGCCUAAAUGCCUAGGUUGGAUCAAUAGUUUAAUUUUUUUAUUGAACUGUUUAAUAUUGACUAUGGACUUACAUUCACUUUUACUGUUUUCUGUAUAUUUACUUUUGCUUGAAGUGUUUUAAUAUUGACUAUUUACCUCUGCUCAUUUUUAUUGAUUUUCUGUAUUUUUUCAAUGAAAAUUAUAAUAAAAAUUAUUUUUGUUA
This 2070-nucleotide long non-coding RNA is filed under the name Homo sapiens (human). The record is from RNAcentral. Lineage: Eukaryota; Metazoa; Chordata; Mammalia; Primates; Hominidae.